Molecule: long non-coding RNA, 1613 nt
Organism: Alligator mississippiensis (American alligator)
Lineage: Eukaryota; Metazoa; Chordata; Crocodylia; Alligatoridae
Exons: 4
Source: RefSeq, a predicted model, not a curated record
CUCCGGGAGGAGGUUAGCAGGCUGAGGGGGAUCAGGGAGGUGGAGGAUGAAAUUGACAGUUAUUUCCUUUCCCUGCAGGCCCAGGCACCUAAGGAAGAAGCAGCCCGGGGAGUGCCCUCCACAGCAGAGUGGCAGACGGUCACAGCCAGGACCGGAGCAGCUCGCAGCGAACCGGUACCAGCUUCUCCAGUCCGACUGGUGAACAGAUCAAGAGAUCCACGAGGAGCCAGAGGAGGAGGCGACGAGUGCUCGUCAUAGGCGACUCCAUCCUGAGAGGUAUGGAAGGGCCCAUCUGUCGCCAGGACCCCUUGGCACGAGAGGUAUGCUGCCUCCCUGGAGCAAAGAUUCAGGAUGUGAUGGAAGUAAUCCAGGCCAGGACCAAGCCCACCGAUUACUACCCCAUGGUCCUAGUCCAUGUGGGUACUAAUGAUGCGUCCAGGAGAACCCCCGAUCACCUGAUGGCGGACUACAGUGCUCUGGGUGGCGUGCUGAAGGAGUUCGGUGCACAGGUGGUUUUCUCUUCCAUCUUACCAGUGACCGGAUGAGGAAGACGGCAGGAGAACUGCAUCAGAGAGACCAACUGGCGGCUUCGGCAGUGGUGUCUCGAGGCAGGCUUCGGAUUCCUGGACAAUGACCCGCACAUCACAACGAGGGACAUGCUCAGCUGGGAUGGGCUUCACCUGUCCCCCAAAGUCCUUCACAGUCGCGGAUGACUGUCUUCCAUAAAUGUUUGAACUGUGGUUCUGAAGAUGGCUGAUGAGAUUGAUCCAGGAUCGGCAGACUCUGUUGCAACUUGGGCACAUGUUUCCAUGCGGGGUAUGUUGGGAGCCAAGGGGCCCGCCAACUCACUCACACCGCCGCUUCCACAAAUUACAUUGUCACAGAGAUGCAAAAGAGAGAUGCCAGCUUCAGGGUGUUAUUGGUGGCAUAGGAUGAACAAGAGCAGAGUGACUUGAAGAGGAGCAUGGAAUCGGAGACCUUGGGAAUGAGACAAAGACAAGGAGCUCAUGGAGUGCUGAAUGGUACUGAACACUAGAUCUGAGCAGCUCUAAGUCUCUUUGCAGUAGGCCUGUGCAAAGCAGUUAGUAUUCACUUCAGAUUCGGAUUCGGAUUUGGCCGAUUCAGGGGACAGUGAUUCGAUAUGCUAAUUUGAAUCACUGUCCCAAAUUGACUGGCUGAAUCUGAUUCGGAGAUUCGGCUGCCGCCAGCCAAAUCUCUGAAUCAAACAGUCCCCAUCCCCCACCUGCUCUUCCAGGCCGUCAAUGACUGUUCUGCCCGUCCCCAGCAUCCUGGCUCUUAAAAAAAAAAAGAAAAAAAAAAAGAAAAAGCCCUGCACUCUCCAGCUUCUGCCAAGUGGGGGGGCUAUUCCCACUGCCCCACACUGCAUGGGGGCUCUGCCAUGAGCCCCCAGAAGCCCUGAGAGCUGUUGCAGCAGCCAGUGAGCGCGGGGCUUUUUUUCAUGUUUUUUUUUUUUUUAAAGAACUGGGAGCUGGGGCUGGGUGAGGAAGCUGGGAGAGCGGGCGGGGGAUGGGGGCUUGUGGCAGAGGCUCCCAUGCAGUGCAGAGCAGCGGGGGGCAGCAGGGAUCACCGCCCCCCCCCACACACCUGGCAGA